Phrynosoma platyrhinos (Desert horned lizard) is the source of this 69-nucleotide non-coding RNA. NCBI's taxonomy places the organism in Eukaryota, Metazoa, Chordata, Lepidosauria, Squamata, Phrynosomatidae. The record is from the annotation of a GenBank genome assembly.
GGCUUGGUGUAGUGGUUUGAGCACUGGACUAUGACUCUAGAGACCAUGGUUUGAAUCCCAGCUUGGCCA